Molecule: non-coding RNA, 105 nt
Organism: Caenorhabditis elegans
Lineage: Eukaryota; Metazoa; Nematoda; Chromadorea; Rhabditida; Rhabditidae
Source: Ensembl
UUCUUGGUCCAAGGCAAUCUCGUCUUUUAACUGCCGACUGCUUCAUUCCAACUUGUAAGCACUUUUGAAGACGACAAGCUCGGCAAGAUGACCGGAAUUCUGAAA